RNAcentral lists this ribosomal RNA (28 nucleotides) under Brassica rapa subsp. chinensis. RNAcentral's name for it is "partial large subunit ribosomal RNA". The record is from RNAcentral. Lineage: Eukaryota; Viridiplantae; Streptophyta; Magnoliopsida; Brassicales; Brassicaceae.
GCGACCCCAGUCAGGCGUCGCAAGGAGU